ACAGGAAUUCCACCCCUGAGUGUUCAGCUCUGCCCAGUCCCCCACCCCAGCCCUGUCCUGUGCCAGGAGCAGGAGAUGCCGGCAGGAGCUGCUGCAGGAAUUGGGCAGAGCAAGACAUCGAUAUUCCCUUUGUUCCACUCCAGCACUCCUCAGAGGCAUUUGAUGAGUGGAUGAACAUCACAAACCAAUUAAGAACAAGAGAUCUCAUCUGGCUUUUCACUGACUGAGAUGGAGAAUUAAAGUCAUUUUAGACCUGGUUUGAAGUUCCAGGUUUCCACACCAGGUAGUUUUCAACAAUAUUUUAUUUUUCUUUCUAGUUGCAGCUGCAAUAGUUCUGGGCUGAGAGCUGCCAGAGCACCCCUGGAAGGACCCAGGCCAUGGAAUUGGGGUGGGGGGGAGAGCCCAGCCCCUGCCCUGCUCCCCCCAGGGCUCCCUGAGCCCAGCCACCACUUCCAGGGCCAUCCAUGGAUGGGACAAACAGCUCAUUUCACCUCUCUCUAAAGCUUUGUUCCAAAACUCACCUUUCCAGUGGCCACUUACCACACCUGAGCCAAGAUUUCCUGGAAAGGUGGAGGAGAGGCUGCAGCACAGCCAGAGCUGCCUCUAAAGGAAAACAAAUGAAAUGUUUGUAAUUGAGGAUGUGCUGGAGCCUCUCCCCAGGUAAUUUUUGGAUGUUGUCGUGUACAGGAGAAAUUCGUGUUAGUGCUGAUGAUAACAGACCUGCAGAGCAGUAAAUGGAUUUCUGUGCUAUUUUCCACCUGAAAGGAUGACCCUUAGAAUCCAACACCCUGAACAGCGAGAUUGUUAUUGGAAAAGAGGGAUAAGGAGGUGCUUCUGUUGCACAGCAGAAAAUGGAUGAUUUAGGGGAAGCUUUCCAGGGCAGAGCUUCAGCCUGGCUGCCUGUGGAGCUGGGGCAGGGUUUGGGCACCUGGGAGGUCCCUUUGGCCGGGCUGUGUUGGGGGAGGAGGGAUGGGAGCCCUGUCCUGAGCUCGGGGUGAGUGCUGGGG
This 1007-nucleotide long non-coding RNA is filed under the name Cyanistes caeruleus (blue tit). Its description in RNAcentral is "lncRNA (ENSCCEG00000022306.1)". Lineage: Eukaryota; Metazoa; Chordata; Aves; Passeriformes; Paridae. The record is from RNAcentral.